GAUGAACGCUGGCGGCGUGCCUAAUACAUGCAAGUCGAGCGAACGGACGAGAAGCUUGCUUCUCUGAUGUUAGCGGCGGACGGGUGAGUAACACGUGGAUAACCUACCUAUAAGACUGGGAUAACUUCGGGAAACCGUAGCUAAUACCGGAUAAUAUUUUGAACCGCAUGGUUCAAAGGUGAAAGACGGUCUUGCUGUCACUUAUAGAUGGAUCCGCGCUGCAUUAGCUAGUUGGUAAGGUAACGGCUUACCAAGGCAACGAUGCAUAGCCGACCUGAGAGGGUGAUCGGCCACACUGGAACUGAGACACGGUCCAGACUCCUACGGGAGGCAGCAGUAGGGAAUCCUCCGCAAUGGGCGAAAGCCUGACGGAGCAACGCCGCGUGAGUGAUGAAGGUCUUCGGAUCGUAAAACUCUGUUAUUAGGGAAGAACAUAUGUGUAAGUAACUGUGCACAUCUUGACGGUACCUAAUCAGAAAGCCACGGCUAACUACGUG
Molecule: ribosomal RNA, 497 nt
Filed under: uncultured bacterium
Lineage: Bacteria
Description: partial 16S ribosomal RNA
Rfam family: Bacterial small subunit ribosomal RNA
Source: RNAcentral